GCCCUAGUAACGGCGAGUGAAGCGGCAACAGCUCANAUUUGAAAUCUGGCUUCGGCCCGAGUUGUAAUUUGUAGAGGAAACUUUUGGUGAGGCACCUUCUGAGUCCCUUGGAACAGGGCGCCAUAGAGGGUGAGAGCCCCGUAUAGUCGGAUGCCGAUCCAAUGUAAAGUUCCUUCGACGAGUCGAGUAGUUUGGGAAUGCUGCUCAAAAUGGGAGGUAAAUUUCUUCUAAAGCUAAAUAUAGGCCAGAGACCGAUAGCGCACAAGUAGAGUGAUCGAAAGAUGAAAAGCACUUUGAAAAGAGGGUUAAAUAGCACGUGAAAUUGUUGAAAGGGAAGCGUUUGUGACCAGACUUGCGCCGUUCCGAUCAUCCGGUGUUCUCACCGGUGCACUCGGGGCGGCUCAGGCCAGCAUCGGUUUUGGUGGGGGGAUAAAGGUUCGGGGAACGUAGCUCCUCCGGGAGUGUUAUAGCCCCGGGCGUAAUGCCCUCGCCGGGACCGAGGUUCGCGCAUCUGCAAGGAUGCUGGCGUAAUGGUCAUCAACGACCCGUCUUGAAACACGGACCAAGGAGUCAAGGUUUUGCGCGAGUGUUUGGGUGUAAAACCCGCACGCGUAAUGAAAGUGAACGUAGGUGAGAGCUUCGGCGCAUCAUCGACCGAUCCUGAUGUAUUCGGAUGGAUUUGAGUAAGAGCGUUAAGCCUUGGACCCGAAAGAUGGUGAACUAUGCUUGGAUAGGGUGAAGCCAGAGGAAACUCUGGUGGAGGCUCGCAGCGGUUCUGACGUGCAAAUCGAUCGUCAAAUCUGAGCAUGGGGGCGAAAGACUAAUCGA
Molecule: ribosomal RNA, 828 nt
Filed under: Sordaria tenerifae
Lineage: Eukaryota; Fungi; Ascomycota; Sordariomycetes; Sordariales; Sordariaceae
Description: eukaryotic LSU rRNA
Rfam family: Eukaryotic large subunit ribosomal RNA
Source: RNAcentral